RNAcentral lists this long non-coding RNA (322 nucleotides) under Capsicum annuum. RNAcentral describes it as "long non-coding RNA (CANN_LNC003418)". The record is from RNAcentral. Lineage: Eukaryota; Viridiplantae; Streptophyta; Magnoliopsida; Solanales; Solanaceae.
GACUGUUAAUGGAAAUUUUAAUUUUAAAAGUAUGAAUUAAUUGAGGAACUGAGUAUAUUUCAGGACUCAAUGAGUGAAAGGAUAUCAAAUGAUAAGAUUUCAAAUACUUGAGAUUGAAAACUUUGUCAAAAUCAUUGAAUUUGAGCUUGAAGAUGAUGAACCUUAGUUUUUGCCUCGGAGAGAAAAUACUCACAUGUUUUGCUUUGAAUUUGCCAAGUACCGACUGAAUUUUGAGGUAAUGAGGGGUUUUGGGUGGUUAAAUCAACUUAUCCCUCUUUUCUCAUGUGAAAAGACGUAUUUUUGGUGUUAAAAAGUGAAAAAA